Molecule: ribosomal RNA, 400 nt
Filed under: uncultured bacterium
Lineage: Bacteria
Description: bacterial SSU rRNA
Rfam family: Bacterial small subunit ribosomal RNA
Source: RNAcentral
UGGGGAAUAUUGGACAAUGGGGGGAACCCUGAUCCAGCAAUGCCGCGUGUGUGAAGAAGGCCUGAGGGUUGUAAAGCACUUUCAGUGGGGAGGAGGGUUGCCAGGUUAAGAGCUAGGUGAUUGGACGUUACCCACAGAAGAAGCACCGGCUAACUCCGUGCCAGCAGCCGCGGUAAUACGGAGGGUGCGAGCGUUAAUCGGAAUUACUGGGCGUAAAGGGUGCGUAGGUUGUAUGAUAAGUUAUCUGUGAAAUUCCCGGGCUUAACUUGGGCACUGCAGAUAAUACUGUCAGACUAGAGUAUAGGAGAGGGUAGUGGAAUUUCCGGUGUAGCGGUGAAAUGCGUAGAGAUCGGAAGGAACACCAGUGGCGAAGGCGGCUACCUGGCCUAAUACUGACACU